RNAcentral lists this ribosomal RNA (501 nucleotides) under uncultured bacterium. Its description in RNAcentral is "partial 16S ribosomal RNA". It matches the Rfam family "Bacterial small subunit ribosomal RNA", at positions 30 to 523 of the family's 1533-position model. The record is from RNAcentral.
AUUGAACGCUGGCGGCAGGCUUAACACAUGCAAGUCGAGCGGAGAUGAGGUGCCUGCACCUUAUCUUAGCGGCGGACGGGUGAGUAAUGCUUAGGAAUCUGCCUAUUAGUGGGGGACAACAUUCCGAAAGGAAUGCUAAUACCGCAUACGUCCUACGGGAGAAAGCAGGGGAUCUUCGGACCUUGCGCUAAUAGAUGAGCCUAAGUCGGAUUAGCGAGUUGGUGGGGUAAAGGCCUACCAAGGCGACGAUCUGUAGCGGGUCUGAGAGGAGGAUCCGCCGCACUGGGACUGAGACACGGCCCCGACGCCUACGGGAGGCAACAGUGGGGAAUAUUGGACAAUGGGGGGAACCCUGAUCCAGCCAUGCCGGGUGUGUGAAGAAGGCCUUAUGGUUGUAAAGCACUUUAAGCGAGGAGGAGGCUACUGAGACUAAUACUCUUGGAUAGUGGACGUUACUCGCAGAAUAAGCACCGGCUAACUCUGUGCCAGCCGCCGCAGUAA